GACGAACGCUGGCGGCGUGCCUAAUACAUGCAAGUAGAACGCACAGUUUAUACCGUAGCUUGCUACACCAUAAACUGUGAGUUGCGAACGGGUGAGUAACGCGUAGGUAACCUGUCUGGUAGCGGGGGAUAACUAUUGGAAACGAUAGCUAAUACCGCAUACUAUUAAUUAUUGCAUGAUAAUUGAUUGAAAGAUGCAAUUGCGGCGCUACGGGAUGGACUUGCGUUGUAUUAGCUAGUGGGUGGGGUAAUGGCUUACCUAGGCGUGGAUGGGUAGACGGACUGAGAGGGUGACCGGACACAUUGGGACGGAGAGACGGCCCAGACUCCUACGGGAGGCAGCAGUGGGGAAUAUUGCACAAUGGGAGGAAGACUGAUGCAGCAACGCCGCGUGCGGGAUGACGGCCUUCGGGUGGUAAACCGCUUUCGCAUGUGACGAAGCGUGAGUGACGGUAAUGGGUAAAGAAGCACCGGCUAACUACGUG
This 484-nucleotide ribosomal RNA is filed under the name uncultured bacterium. RNAcentral's name for it is "partial 16S ribosomal RNA". It matches the Rfam family "Bacterial small subunit ribosomal RNA", at positions 28 to 507 of the family's 1533-position model. The record is from RNAcentral.